This 805-nucleotide ribosomal RNA is filed under the name Burkholderia sp. Its description in RNAcentral is "bacterial SSU rRNA". It matches the Rfam family "Bacterial small subunit ribosomal RNA", at positions 35 to 831 of the family's 1533-position model. The record is from RNAcentral. Lineage: Bacteria; Pseudomonadati; Pseudomonadota; Betaproteobacteria; Burkholderiales; Burkholderiaceae.
GUUUCUACACGGCUACUAGCCAUGCUGUCGUACGGCAGCACGGGUGACUUGCACCUGGUGGCGAGUGGCGAAGGGAAGUGUACAUCGGAACAUGUCCUGUAGUGGGGGAAGCCCGGCGAAAGCCGGAUAAUACCGCAUACGAUCUACGGAUGAAAGCGGGGGACCUUCGGGCCUCGCGCUAUAGGGUUGGCCGAUGGCUGAUUAGCUAGUUGGUGGGGUAAAGGCCUACCAAGGCGACGAUCAGUAGCUGGUCUAGAGGACGACCAGCCACACUGGGACUGAGACACGGCCCAGACUCCUACGGGAGGCAGCAGUGGGGAAUUUUGGACAAUGGGCGAAAGCCUGAUCCAGCAAUGCCGCGUGUGUGAAGAAGGCCUUCGGUUGUAAAGCACUUUUGUCCGGAAAGAAAUCCUUGGCUCUAAUACAGUCGGGGGAUGACGGUACCGGAAGAAUAAGCACCGGCUAACUACGUGCCAGCAGCCGCGGUAAUACGUAAGGUGCGAGCGUUAUCGGAAUUACUGGGCGUAAAGCGUGCGCAGGCGGUUUGCUAAGACCGAUGUGAAAUCCCCGGGCUCAACCUGGGAACUGCAUUGGUGACUGGCAUGCUAGAGUAUGGCAGAUGGGGGUAGAAAUUCACGUGUAGCACUGAAUGCCUUCGAGAUGUGGAGGAAUACCCCAUGGCGACGCAGCCCCCUUGGUCCCACUACUUACGCUCAUACACGAAUGCGUGUUGACCCAAGCGGAUUCACAUACCCCUUGCUGUCCCCCGCCCCCUAUACUCGAUAGCCAUUUAGUGGGUGACCGA